RNAcentral lists this ribosomal RNA (497 nucleotides) under uncultured bacterium. RNAcentral describes it as "partial 16S ribosomal RNA". It matches the Rfam family "Bacterial small subunit ribosomal RNA", at positions 28 to 507 of the family's 1533-position model. The record is from RNAcentral.
GACGAACGCUGGCGGCGUGCCUAAUACAUGCAAGUAGAACGCUGAAGAGAGGAGCUUGCUCUUCUUGGAUGAGUUGCGAACGGGUGAGUAACGCGUAGGUAACCUGCCUUGUAGCGGGGGAUAACUAUUGGAAACGAUAGCUAAUACCGCAUAACAAUGGAUGACGCAUGUCAUUUAUUUGAAAGGGGCAAUUGCUCCACUACAAGAUGGACCUGCGUUGUAUUAGCUAGUAGGUGAGGUAAUGGCUCACCUAGGCGACGAUACAUAGCCGACCUGAGAGGGUGAUCGGCCACACUGGGACUGAGACACGGCCCAGACUCCUACGGGAGGCAGCAGUAGGGAAUCUUCGGCAAUGGGGGCAACCCUGACCGAGCAACGCCGCGUGAGUGAAGAAGGUUUUCGGAUCGUAAAGCUCUGUUGUAAGUCAAGAACGGGUGUGAGAGUGGAAAGUUCACACUGUGACGGUAGCUUACCAGAAAGAGACGGCUAACUACGUG